This 337-nucleotide ribosomal RNA is filed under the name uncultured Acholeplasma sp. Its description in RNAcentral is "bacterial SSU rRNA". It matches the Rfam family "Bacterial small subunit ribosomal RNA", at positions 1045 to 1382 of the family's 1533-position model. Lineage: Bacteria; Bacillati; Mycoplasmatota; Mollicutes; Acholeplasmatales; Acholeplasmataceae. The record is from RNAcentral.
AUGGUUGUCGUCAGCUCGUGUCGUGAGAUGUUGGGUUAAGUCCCGCAACGAGCGCAACCCUUAUUGCUAGUUACCAUCAUUGAGUUGGGGACUCUAGCGAGACUGCCAGUGAUAAACUGGAGGAAGGUGGGGGAUGACGUCAAAUCAUCAUGCCCCUUAUGACCUGGGCUACAAACGUGAUACAAUGGCUGAAACAGAGGGAGGCGAAGGGGUGACCUGGAGCGAAACCCAGAAAAACAGUCUCAGUUCGGAUUGAAGUCUGCAACUCGACUUCAUGAAGUCGGAAUCGCUAGUAAUCGCGGAUCAGAACGCCGCGGUGAAUACGUUCUCGGGGUUU